GAAAAGAUGCAACCAAUUAGAAACAGAUCCAAUUACAAUGGAUCUGUAUAACAGAGAACUAGAUGGUCUAACUAUGAAUUCAUAUGGACUAUCCCAAUAUCUCAGUACCAAGCUAUGCAGCACGGAUACGGAUACGCGUAUCGGUAUCGGAAGGAUACGGAUACGCAGAUACGGCAAUUUCUUAAACAACCCGAUACGCGGAUACGUUUUAACUAUUUUUUUAAUAAAUAAAUAACAAUGCAUAUUAAAUUGCAAAAUAGAUGUUCAAAUUCAACAUAGAGACAUUUAAGGUCUAUUACACUGAGAAUAACAUGAUAGCAGGUUCUAAUUUAGGAGAGGAUGGGAGCCUGGGACUGCAAUCAAUCAAUAUAAACUCAUAUCCAGAUUCUGGAGAUUGGCCAAUUAUCAUCACGUUACCUCCUACUUGCAAUCUAUAUGCUACUAUUCUCCAAGCAAUUGUAUUUGAACCAGUUAAGUAUUGAAAAGAAAGGAUAAUCAACAACUGUGCAAUAGCCAACAUUAUAAAGAUCACACUGCCCCUGAACUUAAUCCACCAUCCAUGCUUGCAUGGGCCCUUAUUCUGUAGACUAUGGAUUAUACUUCCAAAUCGCCUGGAUACACUACACAGAAAAUGUAAAUCUCUAUGCACUUUACGGAUGUUAUGCUACCAUUACUGGGAGGAACUCACGGUUCACGGGAGGCCUGCACUACCACUAUCAGAGGAAGUCAGGCACCUGAACAGGGGCUGGGGCUCCUUACGCCGGAGGCCGACGGGAGUAAUCACGGGCGGACGGAGGCCGACGGGAGGCAGCCUGCGGCCGGCGGGAGGCGGCCUCGCGGCCCGUGGCCGCAGGAGGCGGACGGCGGCUGGCAGGAGGCGGCCUCACGGACGGCGGCCAGCGGACGGCGGCCGACGAGAGGCGGAGGCGCUGCGUCAGCCGUCAGGUCGAGCGGGAGAAUGCGGCGAUGCGCUGCGUGAGGCGGCUGCGCGUGGGAGAGCCGACGCCCGACGGGUCACGGGAGUAGGGCAGGAGGUGGGAUGUGCUGUGAUGUUGGGCCGGCUGGGCCGAAUCCAGGCGCGGAAACGUUUUCGAUCCGAAGUUUUCGGCCUAUUUAAUCGGGGAUACGUGGAUACGCCACGGAUAUGUAUCCGAGGCGUAUCCGUAUCGGAUACGUAUCCGAUACGGGAUACGGUCCCCAGGUGGAGUAUCCGUGUUUCGUAGGUACCAAGUGCCAACCACGGAACCACCGCACAGUCUCAGACAAAGCACACCAGGCAAACAAUCAGCACGAUAAGCAAGUUAUCAUGUGUGAGUGAAUAGUAAAGACCAAAACUAAUGAAACCAUCCAUCACACACAUCGAUGGCAUUUCAUUGCAAUCCGAAACUAAAAUUCAAAAGUAUAGUUCUACUGAAUCUACCCGCGCCCAAUUGGAACUACCACUAAACAAAUACCGGUUACCUGGUUACCUCACUUGCUUUGUUUUUACAGGAACAAGACAAACCCCAUUCUCUCUUCGACGACACAUUCCAAGCAUCAUAUAGUGCACAUGGUCAAUAGUACAAGCACACUCGUAGAUUGUAAGCAAUGCAAAUCACGACAAUUUUCUCAGAUACACAUCGGUAGCAAAUUAUAGCAAAAAAAUGACAGAAAC
This 1654-nucleotide long non-coding RNA is filed under the name Setaria italica (foxtail millet). RNAcentral describes it as "long non-coding RNA (SITA_LNC001654)". Lineage: Eukaryota; Viridiplantae; Streptophyta; Magnoliopsida; Poales; Poaceae. The record is from RNAcentral.